This 1992-nucleotide ribosomal RNA is filed under the name human metagenome. Its description in RNAcentral is "bacterial LSU rRNA". It matches the Rfam family "Bacterial large subunit ribosomal RNA", at positions 1 to 1977 of the family's 2925-position model. The record is from RNAcentral.
UUAAGAUACUAAGAGCAUACGGUGGAUGCCUUGGCGAUAUCUGCCGACGAAGGACGUGACAAGCUGCGAAAAGCUGCGGAGAGAUGCAAAUAAUCGGCGACCCGCAGACAUCCGAAUGGAGCAAUCCGGCUGUGAUGAUGCACAGCCAUCCAUGCCCAAGAGCAUGAGAAGGGAACCGGGCGAACUGAAACAUCUAAGUAACCCGAGGAAAAGAAAUCAAACGAGAUACCCCAAGUAGCGGCGAGCGAACAGGGAAGAAGCCCAAACCGGUGAAGGAAACUUUACCGGGGUUGAGGACCAUCAGACCCGCGAAGAACUUUAGCCGAAACUGUUGGGAAACAGUGCCGAAGACAGUGAAAGCCUGGUAGGCGAAAAAGAGAAACGCGGAGAUGGCACCAGAGUACCGCGGGACACGAGAAAUCCCGUGGGAAGCAGGGGGGACCACCCUCCAAGGCAAAACACAGAUAUCGACCGAUAGCGCAUAGUACCAUGAGGGAAAGGUGAAAAGCACCCCGGGAGGGGAAUGAAAGAGAACCUGAAACCGUAUGUUUACAAGCAGUCGGAGACCGCUUAAUAAUAAGGUCGACGGCGUGCCUAUUGAAGAAUGAACCGGCGAGUUACGAAGCCUGGCAAGGUUAAGCAGGAAAUGCGGAGCCGAAGCGAAAGCGAGUCUUAAGAGGGCGCAAGUCAGGAAGCGUAGACCCGAAACCACAGUGAUCUACCCAUGUCCAGGUUGAAACACAGGUAAAAAUGUGUGGAGGACCGAACCUAUAUCCGUUGAAAAGGGUUAGGAUGAGGUGUGGGUAGGGGUGAAAUUCCAAUCGAACGUGGAGAUAGCUGGUUCUCCCCGAAAUAGCUUUAGGGCUAGCCUCAGGCGAAUCACCAUAGAGACGGUAGAGCACUGAUCGGGCAAGGGGGCGUAAAGCCUACCGACCCCAGUCAAACUACGAAUGGCUCAUAUGGGCAGCCUGGGAGUCAGAAUGCGAGUGAUAAGACCCGUAUUCAAGAGGGAAACAGCCCAGACCGCCGGCUAAGGUCCCAAAUGCUGUGCUAAGUGGAAAAGGAUGUAGGACUUCGAAAACAACCAGGAUGUUGGCUCAGAAGCAGCCACCAUUAAAAGAGUGCGUAAUAGCUCACUGGUCGAGAGGCCCUGCGCCGAAAAUAUCCGGGGCUAAAGCACAGAACCGAAGCCGCGGCAGGGUGUACUAAGGUACACACUGGGUAGGGGAGCGUUCUUAUCUGGACGAAGGCAGACCGGAAGGACUGCUGGACGGGUAAGAAGUGAGAAUGCCGGUAUGAGUAGCGAAACGACAGGUGAGAAUCCUGUCCACCGAAAGCCUAAGGGAUCCUGGGCAACGCUCGUCGCCCCAGGGUAAGUCGGGACCUAAGCCGAGGCGAAAAGCAUAGGCGAUGGACAACUGGCGAAAAUUCCAGUACCGGGCGUCUUCGUUUAAGGAUGGAGUGACGCAGGAAGGAAGCUGAGCGCGCGAAUGGUUGGGCGCGUCGAAGGCGGUAGGCUUGUAUGGAGGCAAAUCCCCAUACUAUAAGGCCGAGAACCGAUAGAUAGGAAAGACUACGGUCAAUCUGAAUUCAGCUGCACUACACUGCCAAGAAAAGCUUCUAACGAGAAGACGUCCGCCCGUACCAAAACCGACACAGGUAGGCGGGGAGAGAAUCCUAAGGUGCGCGGGAAAACCCUCGUUAAGGAACUCGGCAAAAUGCAUCCGUAACUUCGGGAAAAGGAUGGCCGUAGCUGGUGAAGCUUUUUACAAGUGGAGCUGGAGACGGCGGCAGAAAAGAGGCCCAAGCGACUGUUUACCACAAACACAGGUGCCUGCGAAAGCGCAAGCUGAAGUAUAGGUGCUGACGCCUGCCCGGUGCAGGAAGGUUAAGGAGAGUUGUUAGUCCUUGAGAUGAAGCAGCGAACUGAAGCCCCUGUAAACGGCGGCCGUAACUAUAACGGUCCUAAGGUAGCGAAAUUCCUUGUCGGGU